CAUCCCAAACUUCAGCAAACAGCUACAUCUAUUCAUCUCCACCACCACCACCAAAGCCUUACUACUACCACUCUCCACCACCACCGGUGCACUCACCACCUCCUCCUUACCAUUACAGUUCCCCACCACCACCUCCAAAGAAGCCAUACAAAUACGCUUCUCCUCCACCUCCAGUUUACAAGUACAAAUCACCUCCUCCACCAGUGUAUAAGUAUAAGUCUCCUCCUCCACCACCGAAGAAGCCAUAUAAAUAUCCAUCUCCACCACCACCAGUUUACAAGUACAAGUCACCUCCUCCACCAGUUUACAAGUAUAAAUCUCCUCCACCACCAGUUUACAAGUACAAAUCACCUCCUCCACCGGUGUACAAGUAUAAAUCCCCUCCUCCACCAGUGUACAAGUACAAGUCUCCUCCACCACCACCUAAGAAGCCAUAUAAAUACCCAUCUCCACCACCGCCAGUUUACAAGUACAAAUCACCUCCACCACCGGUGUACAAGUACAAAUCUCCUCCACCACCAGUUUACAAGUAUAAAUCCCCUCCUCCACCAGUGUACAAGUACAAGUCUCCUCCACCACCACCAAAAAAGCCAUAUAAAUACCCAUCUCCCCCACCACCAGUUUACAAGUACAAAUCACCUCCUCCUCCAGUUUACAAGUAUAAAUCUCCUCCACCACCAGUUUACAAGUAUAAGUCACCUCCUCCCCCAGUUUACAAGUACAAAUCUCCACCACCACCACCCAAGAAACCAUACAAGUAUCCAUCACCACCACCACCAGUUUACAAGUAUAAGUCUCCCCCUCCACCUGUCUACUCACCACCACCAGUUUACAAGUAUAAGUCUCCUCCUCCACCUGUCUAUUCACCACCUCCACCAUAUAAGUACAAAUCUCCACCACCUCCUCCUUAUAAGUACCCAUCACCACCACCACCAGUUUACAAGUACAAGUCACCUCCUCCCCCAGUUUACAAGUACAAAUCUCCACCACCACCACCCAAGAAACCAUACAAGUAUCCAUCACCACCACCACCAGUUUACAAAUAUAAGUCCCCUCCUCCACCUGUAUACUCACCACCUCCACCAGUUUACAAGUAUAAGUCUCCUCCUCCACCCGUCAAUUCACCACCUCCACCAUAUAAGUACAAAUCUCCACCACCUCCUCCUUAUAAGUACCCAUCACCACCACCGCCAGUUUACAAGUACAAAUCACCUCCUCCUCCAGUUUACAAGUACAAAUCUCCACCACCACCACCCAAGAAACCAUACAAGUACCCAUCACCACCACCACCCGUUUACAAAUAUAAGUCCCCUCCUCCACCAGUUUACAAGUAUAAAUCUCCUCCUCCACCUGUUCACUCACCACCUCCACCACACUAUGUCUACUCUUCACCUCCUCCUCCGGUCUAUUCCCCUCCUCCACCACAUUACAUAUAUUCAUCACCUCCUCCUCCUUACCACUCUUAGAUAACGGUUUACCAUAGUAUCCCAUGGUAUGCUUCUUUUUUAGUACGACCAAUAUCUUUAUGAUUAAAAUGCUUCGAGAAAUACUAAUUUAUAUAUCAACAAAAUAUAUGUAUUUUAUCAACGAAACAAUUAAAUAAGAGAAUCAAAAUUAGUGAUUUGAAUAGUUUUACAUGCCAACACAUGCAAGUCGUUAUAUAGACCUCACAUUCAUUUUAUUCUUAUUAUUCUUAUAGUCUAAAUAGUACAAUUUUCUUGAAACGUCUAAAUUGACAUACAUCUUAUGGUACAGUUUACAAAAAUCAAUCUAAGCCUAUUUUAUUUCUAUUUAUAGUAUUAUAUGUAAAUAGAAAAAAUAUACAAACUAAAAGGAAAGUUGACAGUUAUGUUUCUUAUUAAUGCUUCUCACUCGUAUUGUUCUUUGAGUGCUUAAUUAAUGUGUUUAUGUGUUUGUAUAUACUUUUGUAGGGAUUAAGGAAUAUUGGAAAUAAAGAGAACAUAGUGCAAAGCAGGAAGAUGCAUUUAGCAAUAAGGGAGAAAAACAACGGAAGCAAAGUUUCCAUGCAUUUUGGUCUCAGAAAAAGUCACUUUGUUUUUCUUAUUUGUUUGUAUAUGAAUUAUUAUUCUCAUUAUUGAGUUUGGUUAUUGAAUUUAGACAGGUGUAAUACACUGUGUGUAAUAUCGUGAAUGCAUUUUGUUUUGGAACCUACUCUUUGCAAGGGGUUGGUUGGGAAAAUAAAAUUGAAUAUUUGUUCUACUAAUUCUUUGCAUAUUUAUUGUGAAAUUACAAUAUAAUCAAUGCUCAACUAAUUAUUUUUUUCAACAGAAAACUAAUGCAUUUCAUUAAAAAUUAAAGGACCAAUAUAAAGGAGAAUGUCAAAUUAUAAAGCUAAGAAUUUCUGAAAAAAAAAAUAAAGUUGAGAACUGACGCUGUAUAUGUUUAGCUUAGCAAAGGUGCAUUGUGCAUCCAUAUUAGUCUCUCUCCUACAAAACUCGACAUAAGAAUUAUUACAUAAUAACGAUAAAGUACUACAAUAUCUACUUAAAAUAGAAUCUACAUAUCAAUAGCUGUUAAUAAGUUUAAAGUCUCACCCUCACUCAAUAACUUAUUUAAGCAUUGAAUGUUCAAUCCAAUUGCUAUUAAUUUCGACAAGCCGGUCCUAAUUUACUCUCUCUCGGUUUUCUCUUCCAGUUUCUUCAUUGAGGAGUUAUUUUGGGUCAAUUAUUGACCUGAAAUCACUCCUCUUCAUCUUUUUAUGCCUAUUUCAAUCUAAAUAAGUGAUUUUCACAUAGAUUUAGGUUUUUUCUUUGUGGUUUUAUCAUCUAAGUGUGGUGGUUUGUUGUUCGUCGUCUUGUGCGGCGUUGUUCGAUUUCACGUUUCUUGCGGUGUUCAUUUAAUUCAUAUUGAAAGAUUGAUUAUUCAAUCGAAGAUUUGGGCGUCAACGUUGCAGAUCCGGAUGCUAUGGAUAUUCCGGUCACUUUAAUUUUAUCAUAUAUUUUUUGUUGUGAAAACCACACCAAUAAUAAACUUGAUGCGUGGAGCAAAUUAAUACCAAGUAAUCAAAUCAAGCGGGUAGCAAAUAAUUCAAACAAAAGUAAACGACAAGAGAUAAAAGGAAAGAAGGAGAACACAAGAAUUUGUUUACCCAGUUCGGUCUAAUGAUGACCUAGUCUAGGGGAGAUAGCAGCUCUCUGCUUCACUAUAAUGAUAUGAGUUUCUUUACAAAGAGAUAUUGAAUUACAAGAAUCAGUCUUCAAACCUAAUUCUACCCAAGUCCCAGCCUCUUCCCGUGACCAAGAGACUCAAUCCUAAUGGUGCUUUGUUCAACGUGAAUCAAAACAAUCCCAACCCUAGUGUUUGUUGCCAAGAGAAAUUCUCUAUAAACCCUAUUUUCUACACAGUGUUUUGUUUCUACACACUCUCAGUCUCUCAAAUAUUCAUAUGAUACAAAGCUUAUAUUUAUAGUGGAAAGCAUUCCUCAAAAAUUGGAAACAGGCCCACAAGCUGUUUUAUUUUUCUCAUCUUGCGAGAAAUCGGCCAUCAAGUUUGGAAAAUCGGCCACCGAUUUUUCACGAGACAAAAGUCUCCAAAACCAGGUCAAAAUCGACCACCGUGUGGUGUAACACCCCAUUCCCAAAUAUAAUUUAUUUAAAUGAAAUAAACACACAUCAGAGUAAUAAAUCCAAAUGGGCAUGUCACACUACAUUUUCAAAUUUCUGAAAUAGAAUAUAAAAAAUCUAUUUAUUAAACAUCCAAUGAAAUCAUCAUUUAAUAUGCAGCGGAAUAUUAUCAACGAAACGUCAACAACUGUUUAAACCUCCAAAAUAAUAUCUCAGCAUAAAAAGCCUCAACCAGAAUAAUUCAUCAACCAUAGGGCUACAACAACAUUAACCAAAAUUUGAUACAUAGAAUGAAAGAAAACAAUAAAAUCCCAUCCCACGUAUCAGAGCCCUAGACACUUUGAGCCACCACCUACUACUCAGGAUCACCUGCAAGUUACCCAUAGGAAGGGCAACAUUUCCAAGCAGAAGGGGUGAGAUUCUCAAUCAAUAAAAAUAAAAUAUAAUAACAUCAAUUGAAAAUCUAGCACCUUACAACAUCAAUGAUUAUUCAAUAAGCAUAGGUAUUUCAUAAUCGACAACAAUCAUUCAAAUAUAGAAUUCAAUCAACAAUGCAACUCAUGAUAUGACAUGACACCCCCCUUUAAUACUCCUCAAUAAAUGCAACUAUGCAUGUGGUACCAUAAUUCAGGGCCAUGACCCACACCACUGUCGAAUGGUUAAAGCAUUCUCAGCAGGACCUAAGUCCUCACCGCUCCACACCGCUUUGAACAACUAGUGUUCCACCGCUUUGAACGACAAGGCGUUCCAGAGCCGAAGCUCUCCCACUUUGAUGUUUAUGCAACUACCCCACCUGUGUAUAUCUACAUACAACUCGACCACUACAUAUGUAUCAUAUGACUUACUACUCCACAACUCAAACAAUCCAGACUUACACAAUUAUUUAUAAUUAUGCACAUACAUCAAUCAUCUCCGACAUUCACUAACACCAAUCAAUCCAAUCACUGGCUAGUUUAAAUAGGAUUUGGUCACCUACACCAGGGUUAUAUUAGUUAAAGAGGAAGUUAAAGAACGCUCAAGAAGUCCCCUCAUGCACUAAGCAACAGUUCAGAAAAGGCUGAUUAAGGUUCACUUCGCUUAAGCGACGGCUAGUUCGCUUAAGCGACCAGCUUACAGUAGGUUCUGGGUUCAGUUCGCUUACGGGUCGCUCACGGUUCGCUUGAGCGAACUUUGGACAGAAUGAAAAUGGUUUUUCGCUCACAGGGUCGCUUACCAUUCGCUUAAGCGAAAUCUUGGCAGAACCAAACUUAAUUUUCGCUUACCAGUUCGCUCACGGUUCGCUUAAGCGAACGGGUAAAAUCGCAUUCUGGGCAGCUUGCUUGAAUGCUCGCUUAAGCGACGGAUGCUUCGCUUAAGCGACCACUCAUCUGGGCAGUGCAAAACCUACGGUUUCAGACCUCUUCUCACUCCAAAAACCCCAUUUUAAUCCCCUGAUCACCCAAAAUGUUUUCCAACAGAUGUUUACAGGUCCUAUAUACAACUAGGCAUUACAAAGAAACACAAUUCAGCCAUCAACAACAACAAUUAUAGAAUCAUUCCACCAUCACACAAUAUUUCAUCAAUUCAUACAAUUCAUCCAAAAUUCAAUCAAUUCAUGGAUUACAGCAACAACAUGGAUUAAGAUUUCGUUCUUAACAUUAAAUUCCAAGAAACUAACAUCAUCUUUACUCAUUCCAUCAGAAUCAUCAUCAAACCCUAACUUUCAUCUUAUUUUCCAAAACUAUUCAAUUAGGUCAAUUUCAGAAAUUAUAGAUUAUGAUUAUUGAGAGAUAGUCUCACCCUUACCUUAGUUUUGCAGAAAAUUAGACAGCAAGGAUCGAUUUCUAGGCUCUCCUCUCUAGCUCUUGCUCUUCUUCUCCCUUUUCCCAAAACUUGUCUGUUGUACGUGAAACUGUUUUCUGACUAUUCCUUUUCCUAACUCCCCAAAACUAUAACUCCCCCUAUUACAUUAAACUCCAUUAAUUUUUAUUAAAUUCUAAUUAACUCCCUAAUUUCUAAAAUAAUAUUAAUUUCCAGUUAUUUUAAUUAUUAUUAUAUUAAACUAUAUAAUAAAAUGCACACACCACAUAAAUCACCAAAAAUCAUAUAAAAUCACAUUUGAGACUCCACAUAAUUCAAAAUAAAAUAAAAUAAUACUAGGGCGUUACAUGUGGUACAAAUUGGACACCGAAUUUGACAGACAGGAUGCACAUUUUUGAGUCACUUUUCAACAUUUUUGUAGGCAUUAUGUCGUUAUAUGCUAUUAAUUAACUUUGAUGUUGUGAGUUUAUUAGCAGAUUCAUCCUUUAAGUUUUUAGCGGUGUUGAAUGAUGUAAUCUCGAUUUGAAUGAAUGAAUAUCAUUUUAUUUUUGUAAAAAAAAAAAAAAAAAAAACUAUAUACAUCAUUACUGUAAUUUUUUUUACAACAUGUAUCAAUCAUUUUGUUACAUUUUGUAUUAGUUACUAAAGUAUAUCUACAAAUAGUCUAUGUCGUUAAUUGUGAUCGAAUGCACACAGAUUUUUACAUUAAAAUUUUGCAAACCAUCAAAGUUAAAAAAACAUGCAUAGAACAAACCUUGGGAUAUGUAUUCGAGAUGACGAAAACACUUUUUGUGUUGGAUAAAACUUUGUCCAUCACUGCAAUGUAUAAGCAUACGGGAGAAGUUUUGGGUUUUUUCCAAUCGUUACACUAAUUAAGUGAUAUGUAAUUUGACAAUGUUGACUUUACAUUGUACUCAAAGAUUAUUACAAAUGGUUUCCAUCAUCAUCGUGUUCAUGUUACAUAAUUUGGUCAAGUGAUUUCAGCUUACAGGGGCCUCUUUAAUACUUAUUUCACAAACUCUUAGGACGAGUUUAACAGACGACAAACCAAUGAGGUAGUUCACAUCCUUGUUGGGUUGUCAAAUUAUCAACUAAUCUCACUAUUUAUUCGCAUGUAAUUCGUUGUAUAAGCACUCUUAUUAUUAAUUAAACUAGCGAGUUAACCCGUGCAAUGUAUGAGCGACAUAUGCUACUAUUUUUUAAUCUCCAAAAUUAUAUUCUUUUUUUUGUUUUUUUAUAUAUCACUAGCGAAAAGACAAGCACUCUCGUGCCCGUCUUUCCGCUCUUUUUAUUGCGUUAAUGUUUGAAAAUUAUGAACAAUAUUUUUUUAUGAAAUUUUGAUUUUGAUUAAAACUAUAUAUAUAUAUAUAUAUAUAUAUGUUUGUUGCUUUAAAAUUAUAACAAAUCAAACUAAUCAUGAUUAUCUAUUUCAUUGAAACCAACAAUAUAACAAAAAAAAUAUAAUCUAAACUCUUAUUUUUUUAAUGACACCAACAACGAUCUUUAUUAUAGAAAAAGUUAUUUGAGGGUAUAAUUGAAAUAGUAAAAAAGUAAGUAUAUAAAAAUACUCAUCUAGUUUGUUAGACAUUUUAAAAGAUAAAAGAAAAAAAUUAGACAUAUAUAUAUAUAUAUAUAUAUAUAUAUAUAUAUAUAUAUAUAUAUCGUGUUUCUUACACUUUUAUUUUAAUACAUGAAUUUGCUUUAAUCUAUUUGUUUUGUGUUAUUUGUAUUGAAAGUUAAGGGUAAUUUUGGAAAGAGAAAAAUUCAGCCUAAAAGAGUCUAAAUAUGCUAUUUUCUUUAUAUAUAGUAUAAAUUAACUAACAUUUUAUAAGUUAUAGCCGGCCCUAGUUUUCUAGUGAGAGAAACUCCAACUUCUCUCUAGACUUUCUUUCUCCUUCGUUCAUCGAGGAGGGGUGGUUUUAGGUCAUUUUUUGACCUAGAAUCACCCCUCUACAUCUUUUUUCCCCUUUUCUUUCAAUCUAAAUAAGUGGUUUUCACAUCUAUCAAGUUUUUCGUUUUGUGUUUUUUGUGAUUUCGUCGUCUAAGUGCGGCGUUUGAUUUCGCGUCUUGUCGCGGUGUUUGUUCAGUUCCUAUUGAAAGAUCUACAUCAAUCAAUUACAAAUUCAAGCAAUGAUUUGGAUGUCAACGUUGCAGAUCCGGAAGCAUGGGUAUUUCGGUGAUUUAGGUUUGAUCAUAUUAUUUGUAGGCAUUUUGCUGUUGUAUGCUAUUAACUUGGGUGCUGUGAGUUUGCUCGCAUAUUCACCCUUUACAUUUUUAGCGAUGUUUGUAUCUGAUGUACUCUAUCGAUUUGAAUGAAUGAAUAUCGUUUUGUUUUUGUAAAAUAAAAAGUGUUUUUUUUUUUUUUUUAUAUUUUUUAUUAGUGACAAAUAUUUGACCCAUACAUUUUUUAUGUAUUAAUGAUAAAUAUUUGUUCUAGUUUUCUAAAUUUAUAAUGACAAAUAUAUCUUAUGUGUUUAUCAUUGACAAAUAUUUGACACAUUUUUUUAUAUAUUUAUCAGUGGUAAAAACCUCAUAAAGAACCUAUGUUAAAUACUUGUUCCGUACUUUUUUAAUUGAUCAAUUACAAAUAUUAGUCCCAUGCUUUUUAAUAUUUUUUGUUCAAUUUUUUAAAAUAUUUAUCAAUUAAUUUAGGGUUAACAGGCCUUUACCCCCUACAAUGAUAGGCGAAUACUUGACCCUAGAGCUCUAAAAUGUGUUUUUGUUGGCUAUUCCUCCACUUAAAAAGGAUAGAAAUGUUACCAUCCUUCGUACAAACAAUUCUGUGUCUAGAGAUGUUACAUUUCAUGAAGAGGAAGCUUUUUUCAAACAACCUUAUCUUCAGGGAGAGAAUUUAAGAGAAGAUAAGGAAAUAAAUCAUGAAAUCCUUGCUCUUCCUAUCCUUGAGUUUGCUUGUAUCCUAAGGUUGACAUAACCUUAGAGAACCUUUCAAACCAUGCUCAGGGUGAUUGUUUCAAUCCAUAUAAUGCCUUUUUCAACCUGCAUAUAGAAUUGGCAGCAAGAUUUUUACAAUAUUCUGGCGGUACCUCCAUAUAGAUUUCCUCCUCUAGUUCCCCAUGCAGGAAAGCAUUUUUCACAUCAAAUUGCUGCAAUUCCCAACCAUAAAAGGAAUGGAAAUGCAAUAAUUGAAGCUUAUACUGAUGAUGACCAUGCGGGGUCAAUUACAGACAAGAGGUCCACUACUUGAUAUUGUACCUUUGUUGGAGGAAAUUUAGUAACUUGGAGGAGCAAAAAACCGAAAGUGGUGGCUUGCUCUAGUGUUGAAGCUGAGUUUUGAGUAUAACAUAAGGUAUUUGUGAACUACUUUGGCUGCAAAUUAUUUUAGAAGAUUUGAAGAUAAAAUUGGAUGGACCUAUGAAGUUCUAUUGUGAUAAUAAGUCAGCAAUCAACAUAGCUCAUAAUCCCGUUCAACAUGAUCGAACAAAACACGUUGAGGUGGAUAGGAAUUUUAUCAAAUAUUUUUAUAUUUAUUAGUGACAAAUAUUUAUUUCACGUUUUCGGAUAUAUUAGUGACAAACAUUUGUCCUAUGUUUGUUAUGUAUCAGUUAUUAAUAAAUGUCUUGUGUAUAUUUAUCAUUGAUAAGUAUGUGUCCCGUGUUUUUAUUUUAUUUUAUUUUUUAUAUUCUUCGAUCUUAAAGCAACGAUGAUAGAUCAAGACCUAGAGUGAUAAUUGGUGCCAUUUAACAAAGAGUUUGCAAGAACAUUCCCAAGAUUUUUAUUUGGAUGCAUGAAAUAUGGAUUUAAGGUAUCAUUCUGGUAACCUUUGUGAUGAUGAGAAUCGUGUCCUCCAUUGACACUUCCAGCAAUACUAUCCAUAGACAUGAUGAAUCAACGAAAGGGAUUCACAGAGAAAAGAAAGAAGAGAUAUUUUUACAUUCUUAUGACAUAACUAACUACACACUAACUAUGAUUAAGACUAGAGAUGACUAUAGUUAGGAUGUUACAACUAACUGUUAACUGCCUCAAUAACUUGCAGAGCAACUUACUUAGUGUUCACUAUGUUUUGUUGUUGACAAAAUUCUUAUUUGAUGUUUUAAAAAUUACAAACAUAUUAAAUUUAUUUCAUCUUGUUAUCUACUAACUUGUUCUGUGAUAAUUAUUUCAUGAGAAUGAUCACGACAACAUUCUGGUAUCAUAAGACAAACAAAGCAGUUACGUCAAAAGACAAAUCAGCAAAAAGGCAAAAUUUAGCUUUACAAGAAUAUUUAACUUUUGAAUUAUUAAUAUCAAGAUCAAGACAUUUAUAUGCCUUAUUAAAGGAAGACAUAUAAUGUUCUGUCGAAAAGAAAAAAAAAAGAUAUUUAAUCAUUGUUGAUUGGCAAAAUGAAGAAAGAAAUGUUUUGGGCCUUAAAGAAGAUUUUUUAUCCAUUAAGGAAAAGAAACAAGUCCAUUAAAGAAAAAUAUCUCAUAAAGGCUUUAAGCACAUGUGAAUUAAAUGUGACAUCAUCAAAAGGACAAAAGAAUGACAUAAGCAUGUCACUUCUGACAACUAUCAACAACUCAUUAUAGCCGGAUAACUCUCACGUGGAAGCAUAAAGUAAGCUGGACAUCCAUAACCUUCUGGAUGUGUAAAUUAACAUUCUAGUCGUGUUGAAGAAGAAAAGUGAAAUCAAUUGAAACUUUGGAUAUCUAUAAAAAUGUGCCCAACAACUCUAUUUUCAUAGUUUAUCACCAACACACUCCACAUCUAUAAAUACAUGAAGACAUGAAGAAUCAAAACAAGUGUUUUGAAAGCAAGCAUUCUCUCGAGUGAAAAUCAUCACUAUAUACAAACUCUUCACAAACAAACAAAUUCUAAGUUCUCUCAAUAUAUCAUUUGGAUGAUACUCAUUCAAAUUUGUUUAUUUAAAUCUCAAACAUGUGUUGAGAAUUUCAUUUGAUCCAAACCCACCUCAUCAUACAAAGUGUAUUGUGUUCUCAAGUCUAUUGCUAACAAUAUUUUGAGAAGAAUUGACAACCUUUCUUGUCCAGAAUUAAAAAAUUGUAGAAGCCUACUAAGGUUUAUUUUACAGGAUUUAACGAACUGAUCUGGUGUGAUCAAGAAUUUAUGGUGCUAGUCAUAAGUUUCUGUUAGCAUGAUACUAUAGUGGAUAAUCUUACACAAGGUGUGGGGACUGAAAGUAGCCGAGUUUGGUGAACUAUGAUAAAUCUCAGGUGUUAUUCUUCUUCCCUUUCUCUCUUUAAUACUUAAUAAUCUCUCCAAAAUAUUGUGGUCCUAAUUAAUCACAAUCAAAUUAAUCCAAUGUUUUCUGGUCCUAAAUUGUUUCAUUUAAUAUUAAUUAUACAGAUGCAUUCAGAACAUUCUGAUGCAAGAUAAAACAAUUACAUAAAUAACUAAAGACAAACUCACGUUUAAAAUCAAAUUAUAAUAUUAUUUUAUCAUUCUGUUUUAUUCUCCAGAACAUUCUGGUCCUUGUUAAAAUAGUUUUACAUUUCAGCUUAAUAUCAUUUUUCUCAUUCUUCUUAUAUAUUAAAUAUAUAAUCAUUUAAUCAAAAACAUUAUGGUCCUAGAUAAAAAAGAAUUGUUAUAUAUCAAACACUCUAAUCUAAUUAGACUAACAUUUACCAAGAACCUUCUCUACUAAACAAACUUAUUUAAGUUUCAGGAAUAAUUUUAAAAGGGUCACAAUUCACCUCCUCCUCUUGCGACGUUUCUUGCUACUUCAUGUUCAACAUAGGAUUUUAUAUCACAACCAAGCGACUUUUUCACACCCACACACCCAUUAGUUAUCUAGCUGUAAUAAAAGCAUGUAAUUGAAUGAAUUAAAUGAAAAAGGAGUUAGGGUUUCAAAUAACAACCAUAUAGAUUUAGGGGUGGCCCUGAGGGCAGGCAGGAGGGGCAGUAACCUAGGGCACCAUUUUUUAAGAGGCACCAAAAUUAUUAUUUUUACUUAGUAGUUAGUACUAUAUAGAUAUAUUUCUUUUUAAUUCGUUUUGAUUAAUUAUAUUAAAAAUAUAUUUUUAGAGAACUUUAAUUGUAAAUGAAUCUUUUGUAACAAAAACUGCAAGAAGGAAAAUAUUGAAAUAAAUAAAACAACACAAUUUUAUUGUUUCGUCCAUGACACCAAAAAUCUCAGAACCAGCCCUGAGAAAGACUAUAAUGUUGUGGGGCCGCAUCUUUUCUUUUCUUAACAUGAAUGUGAAGAAAGACGAGAGAUUAUAAAAUUUAGAUAUUUUCUACGCUGCCCUUCUCUCUCUUCAUGUUUGUCUUUUGCAAAAUAACAUCAUUGUAAAAAUUAAAUUUAGUAUCUUAUACUCCCUCCAUUCCUUUUCUUUUAAUGUUUUAGAACUUUAAAUAUAUUCCAAAACUUUUGAUGUUUUAGUGAAUUUAUUAUUGUUUUCUCAAGUUUACCCUUUUCUUCCGAAGCAUAAAGAAUAACCUUCAACCAAGACAUAAACUCAAAAAGAAAAUGUUUAAAUUAAUAAUAAUAUUGAUUUUUAUGUUUGUUUUUUAUUGAACACGUAGAAAAUUGGUUUUCAAACAAACAUAACGUUUGGGAGAGUAUGUAACACUUGAGUUCGAUUCUAGAAUUGUCUAUUUGGAAGGCAGCUCAAUCUUGUAUAAAAAUAUGUCUCACAUUCAACUUGAAAUUAAAUGUCAUAGCUUGGUUAAACUAGAGCCAUGGACAGAUAAAGAGACUAUGUGAUCAAAUGUGGCUAUUUUGAUACAAGUCAUUUUGCCUUUUAAAAAAGAAAAAAUGAAUAGAUUUAAAGCAAUUGGUUAACAAAUCCAAGUCACACCUCAUCAAGGAAGGAAAAGUCAGCAUUUACUUAGCAUUCACAUAUCAAGACUUUUUGUUUAUGUUAGGCAAUUGUCCUACCUCAGGAACAAAGAGAAGAGGCCAAAAAAUAAGGUUAAAUAAUGCAAAGUCUCUGAUUCGAAGUACUUUGACUCUUUUUGUGGAUUUUAGGGAUGUUUGGUGGGUAACCUACACCAUUCAAUCAUUCCCAUCAUAUAAUUAAAUGAAUCUCACUUAAUAAAAUCAAGAAUCAUAUCCUGUUCUUCAUCAAAAUCAUAUUCCAAACCAAAUGAGUGUAUGACAUACGCUACAUAAAUUAUAAUAGAGUCUUGUUAACCAUUGUUCGGACAAUGGUUAAGGAACUUAAAAGUAGUAUGUUUGCAUUGGUUUUAAUAACUUUUAACUUUUAAAAAGUUAAAUUUAUCAGUUUUUAUCAUUUUUCAAUACUAUAUUUAUAUUUUUAUCCUCCAAUACCUCAAGAGCAAUGAUUAGCAUUCUCAUCCGUAAUAAUAUGAUUUACAUUUAAGAAAUUCAAGCCACCUUAGUCAUUAUUAAUCAUAUCCUCGAUUUUGACUUGUAAUAGGAGCUAGAACAGCUAGCGCAACAAUAAAUUUUUUGACAAAUACAUGUCCAUCAACAAGGACAGACAAAAUAUUUAAUUUUGUAAGAAAAAAAACUCAUUCAUAAAAUUAUAAUCAUGUUAAUAUAUGCUCUACGAACACAUGUUAAGAAUUCAAUAAAUAAUAACCAUUUAGACACAUGCUCGGAAACCACAUCAAACCAUAAGACGAGGCAAUGAUAUGCAAAUCACAUUUGGAAUCCUUCAACAACCAUAUAGGUUUUUCACACAUUCGAAGACCGUUAACUCACCUCACAUAAAUACAGGUAAAUCACACUUAAAGGUUAGAGUGUUUACAGGUAGAUCAUCCUCCUCUGCGACUCAUCAAUUGUGUCAUCGAUUUGGUUUACCCUCAGCUUCUUUUUUAUUGAUUGAUUAUAACUUUUUAAUAUAUCAACGACUAUAAUUAUUUACAUUAUAUAUAUAUAUAUAUAUAUAUAUAUAUAUAUAUAUAUAUAUAUAUUUCAAAGUCUAAAUUAGUAAAUGUGCACUUUUUUAUUUGGACAAAAAAGUCAUUCACCUUUAUUAUUUAAAACUAUUACAUUGAGGGUUACUUUUGUAACUUUAUUAUAAAAUAAUGGCUAAAAUAUGGUUUUAGCCCAUGUAAAUAUGUCUCGUUUUAGUUUUAGUCCAUGUAAAAAAAAAUUGUUUUUGGUCCCUGCAAAAUUUUUUGUUUUUGAAAAUAGUUCCUCAGGGACUAUUUUCAAAAACAAAACAUUUUGCAGGGACCUUUUUAAAAAACAAAAAAUUUUGCAGGGACCAAAAACAAAAUUUUCUUUUUACAGGGACUAAAACCAAAACGAGACAUAUUUGCAGGGACUAAAACCAUAUUUUAACCUAAAAUAAUUGUUAACUUGCAUCACUUAGCUAAUUACUUAGAUCCACUUUUGUUAUGAACACAACAAUUACAAACAUUAAACAACUAAAAAAAAGACAAAAUAUUUGUGUUUUUAGUAAAGACAAAAUAUAGUUAACUUGCACCACUUAGCUAACUUAGACUCACUUUUAAUUUUUUUUUUAUUAAUUAAAUGCAAUUGAAAAAAAUAACCUUCUAUGAAAAACAAUUGGAAUAUGGGUAAUUGAAUUUUAUUUUUUUUUCAAAUAAAAAUGUGAGCACUACUAGAAAAAGCUAAGAUACCGACGAAAUUUAGAGACGGAAUUAGAGACGGAAAAAAUCAAUGAGAGAAGAAAAUAAGGUGUUUAAAAUUCAUUAUCUGGUAGAACAGGUCUCGUGCGGUUGUUUCAGCGGGGUUGAUUUAGUCCUCAAUCCGAAGCUUCAUUACACUUGAAGCUUCUUAGUCGUGUUGUGUAGAAAUUAAACCUUAAUAUUUUGACUCAAAGCUCGUCAUGUGUUACUAAUAUCUAUUUCUAUUAAGUAUAUAUUUGUAUAACUGUGCUACAAUCUAUCAAUGGAUAUAAUCUAUCCACCUGUUUAUUUUAUAAAGAUUAAUUAUAUGAUUGUUUUAAUACAAAUAAAGACCUUAAAAGUUAAAAAAGUUAUACUCCAUAUUUCAAUACUCAAAUUUCAUGGUUGUCCAAGUAAGUUGUAACAUAUACUCAAAUUUCAAAAUAACAAUUCGUUAUUCAACAAAUUUGAAAAUGAUGCAAUGAUAAUGACAUAUAAUCAUCUUAACAUCAAAAAUAUAGCACAUGUAGUUGGAAAAAAAAAAAAAAAAAAAACGCAUGUCAAAAGUGUGUACAUUUAAGAUCGAUAAGUCAUUGUAGGAGUAAACCUAGCCACUUGUUGUACAUACAAUAUGAUAUAGAUUUUGAGAAAUGUUAUUUGUACAACUAUUUUGUGACAACUUUCUCUUUCAUACUCACAUUAUAUUCUUACUCUUUCUCAUCCUUUUUCUCUCUCCAUUAUUUUUGACCAAUACCAAAAGAGAAAAAGAAGGUUGUCAUGAAAGUUGUAUCAAAUGGUUAGCUCGAAAGAUUUGUAUGUUACUUUACCACAUGAUUUUUUUUUCGAACAAGUCAAAAUGGAAUAUUAUAUCAUCAAAGAUGGUUCAUCUCGCAUAAGGUAUGCAAAAGAGAAACACCCACCAAAAAAUACAGCUAGAUGUCUGGUGCCAUAAAAGAGCACUCCUGAAGAAAAACAGAAUAAAACAAGGCUACAAUAAAACACCCAUACAAUGUAAAGGGUGCCGCCAACAGUCAUGGUAACUAAAAGCAUAAGUAGACUUGUUUGCCUUUAACCAAGAAAAAGACAUCAAUUUAAUAUUUUCCCAAUAAUUAAUUAUUACACCUCUCUUUAAAUAUAAUAUAUUCUUAAGUAGUUUUUUUGUCUUUGUUAUAUGACCAUUAAUUUGUAUAAUUUUAUCCCAAUUAAUUUAUAUUUUUAAUUAAAUUAAAGAUGCAUCUAGUAUAACUUCUGAAAAAUGGUUAAAGAGUUGAACAUCACGUCCUUAAGGAGCAUGAACAAACUUCUUAAAAAUGGUUAAAGAGUAUGAAUGUCAACAUGUAUCUAUCAACCAAUUUUUUAAUCAAACUAACCUGUUCCAUAUGAACAUAACCUCAGAUAUGGACCAGCUCCAUGCAUGAGUGUGAGUUAGCUUAAAACUUAUGUUAUAUCUAUCAUUCUUUCUAAUAAUUUUAUUGAAUGAAUUCUAUUUUGCCCGUGCAAAAAAAGAAGUAAAAAUGAACCUUCUAGGAGAGCAAGGAAAAAAUUACUGGUUAAUGGUGAUUUUGACUGGUUUCUUAACUAUGAAGUUAUGACCUUGCACCAACGUUAAGGACUAAGUAUUUGAUCUAUUAAAUUAGGGUUACGAAAGCUCUAGUUUUGCUAAAUUAUGAAAAUACUAGUUUUGUUUAUAAUAGUGAUCAGAGGUAUAUAUCAAGACAUGUAUAUUGAUUUUGCUAAAUACUACUAAAUUGGUGAAAUUGGAAUUCCUAAAGUUUAAUAUCCCUAUAUUAGACGAUCAUAUAUCAAGACAUGUAUAUUGAAUUUGCUAACUUUGAAAACAGCAUACAAACCAAUAUAUUAAAAUAAGAGCAGUGUCAACAUUUUCUGGCAAAUAAGCUAACUUAUUCUUUUGUUUACAUUUCAUUUCAAAUUCAUACCCAACUUGGGACGCAUUGGUCCAAAAAGCAUACUCACUAAUUCAAAGGCAAUCCAUUUUUUUAAUAAUAGCUGCAUGUAUCAUAAUACUUUUCACAUUUGUAAACUUAAUUUUCAAAGGCAACCAAGAUGAAUAGUUGAGGUAAAUUGGACAAAGAAAAAACCAUAUACAAAUACGUCUAUUCCUCUCCACCACCACCACCACCACCACCAUCUAAGCCAUACAAAUACGCUUCUCCACCACCACCAGUUUACAAAUACAAGUCCCCACCUCCACCCGUCUACUCACCACCACCACCACCAGUUUACAAGUACAAGUCCCCACCUCCACCACCAGUUUACAAGUACAAGUCCCCACCUCCACCCGUGUACUCACCACCACCACCACCAGUUUACAAGUACAAGUCCCCACGUCCACCCGUUUACUCACCACCUCCACCAGUUUACAACUACAAGUCCCCACCUCCACCCGUCUACUCACCACCUCCCCCGGUUUACACGUACAAGUCACCACCUCCUCCCGUCUAUUCACCACCUCCACCAGUUUACAAGUAUAAGUCUCCUCCUCCUCCUGCUUACUCACCACCUCCACCACAUUAUAUCUACUCUUCACCAC
RNAcentral lists this long non-coding RNA (16438 nucleotides) under Medicago truncatula (barrel medic). RNAcentral describes it as "long non-coding RNA (MTRU_LNC004005)". Lineage: Eukaryota; Viridiplantae; Streptophyta; Magnoliopsida; Fabales; Fabaceae. The record is from RNAcentral.